Molecule: ribosomal RNA, 497 nt
Filed under: Mucor racemosus
Lineage: Eukaryota; Fungi; Mucoromycota; Mucoromycetes; Mucorales; Mucoraceae
Description: eukaryotic LSU rRNA
Rfam family: Eukaryotic large subunit ribosomal RNA
Source: RNAcentral
UCAAAGAGUCAGGUUGUUUGGGAAUGCAGCCUAAAUUGGGUGGUAAAUCUCACCUAAAGCUAAAUAUUUGCGAGAGACCGAUAGCGAACAAGUACCGUGAGGGAAAGAUGAAAAGAACUUUGAAAAGAGAGUUAAACAGUAUGUGAAAUUGUUAAAAGGGAACCGUUUGGAGCCAGAUUGGCUUGAUUGUAAUCAACCUAGAAUUCGUUUUGGGUGCACUUGCAGUCUAUGCCUGCCAACGACAGUUUGAUUUGGAGGAAAAAAUUAAUAGGAAUGUGGCCUUUCGAGGUGUUAUAGCCUAUUAUCAUACUCUGGAUUGGACUGAGGAACGCAGUGAAUGCCUUUAGGCAAGAUUGCUGGGCGCUUUCGCUAAUAAAUGUUAGAAUUUCUGCUUCGGGUGGUGCUAAUGUUUAAAGGAGGAACUCGUUUAGUAUAUUUUUUAUUCGCUUAGGUUGUUGGCUUAAUGACUCUAAAUGACCCGUCUUGAAACACGGACC